Molecule: ribosomal RNA, 330 nt
Filed under: uncultured bacterium
Lineage: Bacteria
Description: bacterial SSU rRNA
Rfam family: Bacterial small subunit ribosomal RNA
Source: RNAcentral
AGCGAACGCUGGCGGCGUGCUUAACACAUGCAAGUCGCGCGGGAAAGAGACUUUCGGGUCUUGAGUAGAGCGGCGGACGGGUGCGUAAGACGCGGGUGACCUAUCCGAGAGGCGGGGAUAACCCAGCGAAAGCGGGGCUAAUACCGGAUGAGCCCCCAGGCGGAAACGCGCGGGGGCAAAAGGAUGCUACUCGAUAGUGGCAUGUCCUCACGGAGGGGCCCACGGCCUAUCAGCUAGNGGUGUGGUAACGGCGCACCAAGGCGAAGACGGGUAGCUGGUCUGAGAGGAUGGCCAGCCACACGGGGACUGAGACACGGCCCAGACUCCUAC